Molecule: small nucleolar RNA, 84 nt
Filed under: Zostera marina
Lineage: Eukaryota; Viridiplantae; Streptophyta; Magnoliopsida; Alismatales; Zosteraceae
Description: Small nucleolar RNA Z157/R69/R10
Rfam family: Small nucleolar RNA Z157/R69/R10
About the family: Z157, R69 and R10 are members of the C/D class of snoRNA which contain the C (UGAUGA) and D (CUGA) box motifs. Most of the members of the box C/D family function in directing site-specific 2'-O-methylation of substrate RNAs.
Source: Rfam by way of RNAcentral
CUUUGUGCUGUGAUGAUAUUUUUUCUGGAUUAGAAUUUCUGAUCUUGCAUUUGAAGACAAACCCUUGGCUGUCUGAGCAUAAUU